This 77-nucleotide transfer RNA is filed under the name candidate division MSBL1 archaeon SCGC-AAA261C02. RNAcentral's name for it is "tRNA-Gly". It matches the Rfam family "tRNA". Rfam says of the family: Transfer RNA (tRNA) molecules are approximately 80 nucleotides in length. Their secondary structure includes four short double-helical elements and three loops (D, anti-codon, and T loops). The record is from RNAcentral. Lineage: Archaea; Methanobacteriati; Methanobacteriota.
GCGGCCGUGGUCUAGCCUGGUUAAGACUCAGGCCCUCCAAGCCUGAUACGCGGGUUCAAAUCCCGCCGGCCGCACCA